CUACGGGCCGCUGCAGUAGGGAAUAUUGGGCAAUGGGCGAAAGCCUGACCCAGCAACGCCGCGUGCACGAAGAAGGCCUUCGGGUCGUAAAGUGCUUUUCUGAGGGAUGAGAAAGGACAGUACCUCAGGAAUAAGCCUCGGCUAACUACGUGCCAGCAGCCGCGGUAAAACGUAGGAGGGCAAGCGUUAUCCGGAUUUACUGGGCGUAAAGCGUGUGUAGGCGGUACGGCAAGUUGGAUGUGAAAGCUCCUGGCUUAACUAGGAGAGGUCGUUCAAAACUACCGAACUAGAGUUUAUCAGAGGAAGAUGGAAUUCCCGGUGUAGUGGUGAAAUGCGUAGAUAUCGGGAGGAACACCAGUGGCGAAAGCGAUCUUCUGGGAUAAUACUGACGCUCAGACACGAAAGCUAAGGUAGCGAACGGGAUUAGAUACCCGUGUAGUC
This 441-nucleotide ribosomal RNA is filed under the name uncultured bacterium. RNAcentral describes it as "partial 16S ribosomal RNA". It matches the Rfam family "Bacterial small subunit ribosomal RNA", at positions 339 to 795 of the family's 1533-position model. The record is from RNAcentral.